UUAUAUGAGAGUUUGAUCCUGGCUCAGGAUGAACGCUGGCGGUGUGCCUAAUACAUGCAAGUCGAACGCGUUGGCCCAAUUGAUUGAUGGUGCUUGCACCUGAUUGAUUUUGGUCGCCAACGAGUGGCGGACGGGUGAGUAACACGUAGGUAACCUGCCCAGAAGCGGGGGACAACAUUUGGAAACAGAUGCUAAUACCGCAUAACAGCGUUGUUCGCAUGAACAACGCUUAAAAGAUGGCUUCUCGCUAUCACUUCUGGAUGGACCUGCGGUGCAUUAGCUUGUUGGUGGGGUAACGGCCUACCAAGGCGAUGAUGCAUAGCCGAGUUGAGAGACUGAUCGGCCACAAUGGGACUGAGACACGGCCCAUACUCCUACGGGAGGCAGCAGUAGGGAAUCUUCCACAAUGGGCGCAAGCCUGAUGGAGCAACACCGCGUGAGUGAAGAAGGGUUUCGGCUCGUAAAGCUCUGUUGUUAAAGAAGAAUACGUAUGAGAGUAACUGUUCAUACGUUGACGGUAUUUAACCAGAAAGUCACGGCUAACUACGUGCCAGCAGCCGCGGUAAUACGUAGGUGGCAAGCGUUAUCCGGAUUUAUUGGGCGUAAAGAGAGUGCAGGCGGUUUUCUAAGUCUGAUGUGAAAGCCUUCGGCUUAACCGGAGAAGUGCAUCGGAAACUGGAUAACUUGAGUGCAGAAGAGGGUAGUGGAACUCCAUGUGUAGCGGUGGAAUGCGUAGAUAUAUGGAAGAACACCAGUGGCGAAGGCGGCUACCUGGUCUGCAACUGACGCUGAGACUCGAAAGCAUGGGUAGCGAACAGGAUUAGAUACCCUGGUAGUCCAUGCCGUAAACGAUGAGUGCUAGGUGUUGGAGGGUUUCCGCCCUUCAGUGCCGGAGCUAACGCAUUAAGCACUCCGCCUGGGGAGUACGACCGCAAGGUUGAAACUCAAAGGAAUUGACGGGGGCCCGCACAAGCGGUGGAGCAUGUGGUUUAAUUCGAAGCUACGCGAAGAACCUUACCAGGUCUUGACAUCUUGCGCCAACCCUAGAGAUAGGGCGUUUCCUUCGGGAACGCAAUGACAGGUGGUGCAUGGUCGUCGUCAGCUCGUGUCGUGAGAUGUUGGGUUAAGUCCCGCAACGAGCGCAACCCUUGUUACUAGUUGCCAGCAUUAAGUUGGGCACUCUAGUGAGACUGCCGGUGACAAACCGGAGGAAGGUGGGGACGACGUCAGAUCAUCAUGCCCCUUAUGACCUGGGCUACACACGUGCUACAAUGGACGGUACAACGAGUCGCGAACUCGCGAGGGCAAGCAAAUCUCUUAAAACCGUUCUCAGUUCGGACUGCAGGCUGCAACUCGCCUGCACGAAGUCGGAAUCGCUAGUAAUCGCGGAUCAGCAUGCCGCGGUGAAUACGUUCCCGGGCCUUGUACACACCGCCCGUCACACCAUGAGAGUUUGUAACACCCAAAGUCGGUGGGGUAACCUUUUAGGAGCCAGCCGCCUAAGGUGGGACAGAUGAUUAGGGUGAAGUCGUAACAAGGUAGCCGUAGGAGAACCUGCGGCUGGAUCACCUCCUUU
RNAcentral lists this ribosomal RNA (1576 nucleotides) under Limosilactobacillus fermentum. RNAcentral's name for it is "Lactobacillus fermentum Bacterial small subunit ribosomal RNA". It matches the Rfam family "Bacterial small subunit ribosomal RNA". The record is from Rfam by way of RNAcentral. Lineage: Bacteria; Bacillati; Bacillota; Bacilli; Lactobacillales; Lactobacillaceae.